GACGAACGCUGGCGGCGUGCUUAACACAUGCAAGUCGAACGGAAAGGCCCUGCUUUUGUGGGGUGCCCGAGUGGCGAACGGGUGAGUAACACGUGAGUAACCUGCCCUUGACUUUGGGAUAACUUCAGGAAACUGGGGCUAAUACCGGAUAGGAGCUCCUGCUGCAUGGUGGGGGUUGGAAAGUUUCGGCGGUUGGGGAUGGACUCGCGGCUUAUCAGCUUGUUGGUGGGGUAGUGGCUUACCAAGGCUUUGACGGGUAGCCGGCCUGAGAGGGUGACCGGCCACAUUGGGACUGAGAUACGGCCCAGACUCCAACGGGAGGCAGCAGUGGGGAAUAUUGCACAAUGGGCGGAAGCCUGAUGCAGCAACGCCGCGUGCGGGAUGACGGCCUUCGGGUUGUAAACCGCUUUCGCCUGUGACGAAGCGUGAGUGACGGUAAUGGGUAAAGAAGCACCGGCUAACUACGUG
RNAcentral lists this ribosomal RNA (468 nucleotides) under uncultured bacterium. RNAcentral's name for it is "partial 16S ribosomal RNA". It matches the Rfam family "Bacterial small subunit ribosomal RNA", at positions 28 to 507 of the family's 1533-position model. The record is from RNAcentral.